AAUCAACGCUGGCGGCGUGCCUCAGACAUGCAAGUCGAACGAUUAAACUUUCCUUCGGGAAAGAUAUAAAGUGGCGCACGGGUGAGUAACACGUAAGUAAUCUACCUUCGAGUGGGGAAUAACGUUCGGAAACGAACGCUAAUACCGCAUAAUGCAGCGGCACCUAAUGGUAACAGUUGUUAAAGGAGCAAUUCGCUUGAAGAGGAGCUUGCGGCAGAUUAGCUAGUUGGUAAGGAACGGCUUACCAAGGCUACGAUCUGUAACCGGUCUAAGAGGACGGUCGGUCACACUGACACUGAAUAACGGGUCAGACUCCUACGGGAGGCAGCAGUCGGGAAUUUUGGGCAAUGGGCGCAAGCCUGACCCAGCAACGCCGCGUGAAGGAUGAAGUAUUUCGGUAUGUAAACUUCACAAGAAUGGGAAGAAUAAGUAGGGGACAAUACCCCCUAUGAUGACGGUACCAUUUGUAAGCUCCGGCUAACUCCGUGCCAGCAGCCGCGGUAAC
This 505-nucleotide ribosomal RNA is filed under the name uncultured bacterium. Its description in RNAcentral is "bacterial SSU rRNA". It matches the Rfam family "Bacterial small subunit ribosomal RNA", at positions 32 to 524 of the family's 1533-position model. The record is from RNAcentral.